This 4383-nucleotide long non-coding RNA is filed under the name Musa acuminata (dwarf banana). RNAcentral's name for it is "long non-coding RNA (MACU_LNC003486)". The record is from RNAcentral. Lineage: Eukaryota; Viridiplantae; Streptophyta; Magnoliopsida; Zingiberales; Musaceae.
AUCCCAUUUGCAGUACUGUCCACCUGCUAAGGCACGAUAAAACCGAUCUCUGCAGUAGACUGGCCUUCCAUCUGCUGCCUCAGCCGCAGCAGCUGCAAGGUCAUCAUCAUCCUUCACCUCUAUUGGUAAUCUAAGAAGCUCUUCUUUCCUACAUUCAUUGCAAAGUUGAUAAGAAGUUAGUCAAUGCAGGUCAUACUUUGAGCUAGUUACAAAACUUUGGUGAGGGCCAACCUCAGAUUAGGUUUGAUCUGUGAAGUUGCAGAGUUCAAAUUAUUGUCAUUUGAUCUGAAAGCUGAAUGCAGGAAGUCUUCCACUGGAGCAGCAAAUAUGAACAGUGACACAGCACUAACAAGCAAAGCUCCUGUCCCAACUAAUGUUUGUUUCAACAACUUAAUCACUGGUUUUACCUAAUGCACAAUGCGGUACUGUUCUUCAGCAUAGCUAUUCAUGCAUAUGAAAUAUAGACAAAGGAGAUUUUGUGAGAAACAACAGGUUCUUAUGGUGGCCUCAAAAUUUUUUUUGUAAUUGCAACCACAGACAUUAAUGGAAAGAACAGUUGGCAUCAACAGAUAGCAGAACAUAAUAACACAUAUAUUCUGAUCAUGUGGUUCCUCAUGUAAAGCAAAGGAUUCUGUUGAAGCAGUCUAAGCAAGCUAAGAACCAGAUGCUCCCUGUGCAUCUGGUGUUUGACCUUUCUGAUCAAAGUACAAAGUGAUAUCCAUAGGCCACUUGGUAGAAUAUCUUCAGUUGUACUAUGUGCAAGUGUAGAAAAAUGACUUGGAACUUCUUAUAUAGACAGAUAUGUGACAAUUCACCAUGCUGUAUCUUUGUUAAUUUUAAAGAAAUAUCAAAAGCAUUUACUGACUUCUGGAAACCACCAGCCAUAUCACAUAGCCAUAUUUUGCUUGUGAGGAUUGGGAAUGGGAUAUUCCUUCCUGCUAUUCUUAUUGGUCUUAUCUUCUUUUCUGAUAGAUUUGCCUCAUCUCUGUAAUUAAUGUCAUUAUUUCAUCUGAAUGUUAAUAUUAUGUGAAGAAUAGUCCGGUUUAACUUUUCUGGUAGAUGGCUUUUUAAAAGUCUGGACCAUCCUUUUUUUUGGUUUUCUGAAAUGUGCUGAUUAUGUGUGCAUAGCUACAGAGUGAUUCUACCAAAAACUGGAUAUAUGUGCUAACUAUGCAUUCAUAGCUAAAGGUGUGGCAGACUAAUAACUGAUUCACCUUCCAUCUGCUGCCUCAGAUGCAGCAGCUGCAAGGUCAUCAGCAUCCUUCACCUCAACUGAACAAGCAGGAGCAUGUGUUGGUUUACAUUGUGUGAUUCUCAUUAAAGACAACUAGAAAUUAUGGAACAUUAACCUCAUUAGUUACCAUAAAAAGUAAUUUAUAUUGCUGUCCAAGAAGGCAUUCUUUAUUUUUUGGAAUUCUUUACACACUAACAAGUAAAUAUGGUGACUUUGCAAUGAUCACAUACCUUAUAAGACCCCAACAGUCUAUCGCGAGCCAAUACCUAACAUAAGAAAUAGGCCACAUAUUACAUCAGAACAAUCAUAAAAUUCUUAAAAUACUACAUUUGCUAAAUCAACAAAUAGUAUAACUAGAACAAUUUUAUCUAGAAUACAUGGUUGUUAGUUUGUUAUAAGAAUUAGGGUAGGUCUAGUAGUGCAUGAGGUGCCCGACAAUGCAGGGGCUGGGAGGAACAAUGUAUCCAGUUUUGCUCAUUAAACGCAUGAAAUAGAAAUGGACCUUAACCUACCUAAUAUCAUUACUAUUUUUUUUGCAAUACUGUGCCUAGAUUCAUGAUCAAUUCAUUCUGAGUUAAAUUCUUUGCAAAUUUUCUUUUGCAAGUGGCUAGCUUGAUGAUUGUUGAUGACUAACCUCAGGUGGUUUCACCCACAUUUGCCCAUCAUACCACCCGGUUUCCUCAUAGGGUAUCACUGCUGAUAAUAGCCUGUUGCCAACAUAACUCCAUCCCUGUUACAUCAGAAUAUAAAAUGAAAUCAGCAGUUUUCACAUCAAACAUCAAAUUUUUUCAAACCUAUGAUAUCAAGUAAAUCAAGGAAUAUCAGAACACUGAAACAGAGUUGUACUUAGUACCCAAAAAUCAAUAAGCAAGAUAAUUCAUAUAUCUUGUUCAUCUUACUGAUGUUCAGAGUUGGAAAAGUUGGUGCAAGUAACUGAAUAAAGUCUUGAUUCUACAUUGUAGAACAUUUUUUAACAGAUAUAAGAAUGUACUGAUAAAUUAUCUGUUGUAGAUGGAUAUAGUAUCAGCAAAAAGGUAAUGAAAUUUAAAUCUUAUCUUCUGUGUUUAAAGAUACUUGAGGAAAAAUAAUAAAAACAAAGUUACAAGUUACUACUGUUACAUGGUAUCAUGUCCUGAAUUUAAAAUGGGGUUUGAAUAAGAUUUAGUGAGAGGAGGAAGGAGAAGCUAUUUCAACUAGAGGUCCAUGGACCAUAUGUUCUGCGCAUUGCAGGAUCUCCAACCAUUUAUAGCAGAUCAAUUACAGGAGUUCAUUGAUUCCACCAAAGUAACUAGACUUUUCUUUGUAAGCGUCGUUGUUGUUGUUGAAUUACUUCCAACUAUUCAAGUAAUUUGCAGGAGCUGUGUUGUUCAACUGUUCAUCUCUAUUUUAAUUCAUAUUAUUAAUAUAUAUUAUAUCGUUUACCAGAUAAAUCCGCAGUACCACCAGAGCCACCAGAAGAAGAGUUCCAGUCCCAGCUGCAAGAACAAACUUUAGUGGAUCCUAUACAAGAGCAGCAAAGAAGAGAGAAAAGUUAGAUAUAAAAAUGAUUUUUUUUUUUCAGCAGACAGAAAUAUGUAUGAUGUCCUUUAUACUUAUAGUAAGUUCUCACUUAUAACACAAAAUUUUCCUUUAAUCGAAUAUUAUGAGCGGUUGUGCAGAUGUUUGACUUAUCUUGCUCCUAGAAUUUUGAAUCAGUUACAUAACAUGUUGGCGAAGCAAUUAUACUAUCUUGUGAUGCAAGCUUACCAUUAUUUACAUGUUUUAUCAUGAACAAAAGAAGAUAAUUUCAUAUCAGAAUGAGAUGGUCAAUUUGAUCAUACCUUUGAAGGGUUGAAGCUUGCAGCUGCUAUCGGUGCUCCUAGAACCGUAAAUGUUACUAGCGAUAAGCUGCCAAGGCGUAAGAAGAAGUUCCCCGGACUCAGUUCUCCCCAGGAGUAAAGAGUACUAGUUUUCAAGGCAGCAUACUCGUUAACCUAUCACAUCAGUGAAAGUUAAGCUCAAGAAAACAGUAUAUGCUCUACUGAAUCUGUACAGUGAUUUAGUUUCCAUCGCUAUAUUUAGAAGUAUUAACUAGUCCUUAUUGAAGAUGGUGAAUGAGACACAAUAAAACAUUAAUUAAUUAACCAUGUUCACUGAUAUAGAGAAUGCAUAUGAACAUGUAAAGCUGUCUUCUGAAUUAUAUGACUUACUCAACCAAGUAAAAUUGAGAUUUUUUUUAAUCCUAUUAGAUAAGCAGAAACUGUACAUUUGGCCUUGACAUUAAUCAGGCCUUCUGCAAUGUGUUGAAGAAAUCAUGUGUGCAAAAUCUGUAAUGAAGUCACAAGAAAAAAAAGUUAAAGGGAUGCCAAAAUGCAUCACGCUCUACCAUCUAAUUUAAAGAAAUUCUAAUAGAACACUAGAGUUUCCGUUGUGGUGGUUUCUUUGACCUUGUUCUUUACUGGGGAAUCAGAUUGGAUCCUGCUUCUUUAUGCAUAAAAUCUAUCAUCUUUAAUCGAUUUGUUCUCUUAGAGAUUUGAUUACUCAUCUUUGGAGCCUCAGCCUCUUCUCAACAUAUCAAAUUUAAUACAACCAAAUUGCAAGUUGAAAUAAAUGGAUGGUACCGAGACAGUCCUUGUUAUCAUGAAGAAGGAAAAGAAAAAGGAAAACAAAUGAUGAUUCAGAAUCCUCCUAACUCCACUCAUGGAAUUACAUCUGCCAAGAAACUCCCAACAGUUCAACCCACCCAAUAAAACCUAACAAGAUUAAAUAGAUUAGUAUAUUAGCAAUUCUGGUUCCCUAGAGUUAGUAAAGCCCUUCUACCUCAAGCUAGAGAUAGUUUAGCUCUUCUAAUUUAAUCCCCUCAAAAGAAAAUACAAUCUGUUUCCCCUUUUGAUGAAAUAGAGAUACUUUUAACAUACAUCACAUACUCCAUAUAUGAAAUUAUGCAUAAAACUAACUGAAUUGCUUUGCUUUUUUAUGAGACCUUAAUAUUUGUUCUGUCUACAAGCGAGUGAGAUGACAUCAUGAAUGAAGGUAAGUUCAGUGCUCACAGGUCUCUGCUCAAAGGGCACUUCAAUCUCCAAGCCAGGAUCCCAGCUUUGCCCUGCAAAGCCGCCGGCGCCGCCUUCAGCAUCAUCCCUCACGGCCCUGACAGUACAGCAGAAGCGACU